AUUGAACGCUGGCGGCAGGCCUAACACAUGCAAGUCGAGCGGAUGAAGGGAGCUUGCUCCUGGAUUCAGCGGCGGACGGGUGAGUAAUGCCUAGGAAUCUGCCUGGUAGUGGGGGAUAACGUCCGGAAACGGGCGCUAAUACCGCAUACGUCCUGAGGGAGAAAGUGGGGGAUCUUCGGACCUCACGCUAUCAGAUGAGCCUAGGUCGGAUUAGCUAGUUGGUGGGGUAAAGGCCUACCAAGGCGACGAUCCGUAACUGGUCUGAGAGGAUGAUCAGUCACACUGGAACUGAGACACGGUCCAGACUCCUACGGGAGGCAGCAGUGGGGAAUAUUGGACAAAGGGCGAAAGCCUGAUCCAGCGAUGCCGCGUGUGUGAAGAAGGUCUUCGGAUUGUAAAGCACUUUAAGUUGGGAGGAAGGGCAGUAAGUUAAUACCUUGCUGUUUUGACGUUACCAACAGAAUAAGCACCGGCUAACUUCGUG
RNAcentral lists this ribosomal RNA (484 nucleotides) under uncultured bacterium. RNAcentral's name for it is "partial 16S ribosomal RNA". It matches the Rfam family "Bacterial small subunit ribosomal RNA", at positions 30 to 507 of the family's 1533-position model. The record is from RNAcentral.